CACCAAGAAAUUAAGCUGUAUUAAAUAUAGUAAAAAGACAGUUAUGCUAAUUAGAAAGGUCAGCUAAUAACAAUAGUAUAGGGGUGAAAUCCGAACAUAUGUUUAGUCACAAAAAUGGCCUAGAAGAGCUGAAGCUGUGAAAUUCUAUAGGAAAACUGGGAUUGGAUACCCCACUAUUCAUGAAUAUAAAUUGAUAAAUAUCUACUAGGGUACUACGAACCCACAAAAUUUAAAACUCGAAGGACUUGGCGGUGUCUUAGACCACUUAGGGGAACCUGUCUCUUAAUCGACAAUCCGCGUUAAACCUAACCUUCUUUUGUAUAGCUUGUAUACCGUCGUCGUCAGGUAACUUUUUAAAGAAUAUAAGUUAGCGGCUAAGCGUAAAUAUAAGCUAGUACGUCAGAUCAAGGUGCAGCUAAUGAGAGGGUGAGGAUGGGUUACAAUUAUUUACUUAUAACACGAAUGGUUUAUCAAAUGAUAGAUCCGAAGGAGGACUUAAAAGUAAAAGCGUUAUUAUAUAAACUACUUGAAUAAGGCUCUGAGACGUGC
RNAcentral lists this ribosomal RNA (549 nucleotides) under Anarithma metula. RNAcentral's name for it is "Mitromorpha metula partial 12S ribosomal RNA". The stretch from base 208 to 549 matches the Rfam family "Bacterial small subunit ribosomal RNA", at positions 875 to 1384 of the family's 1533-position model. The record is from RNAcentral. Lineage: Eukaryota; Metazoa; Mollusca; Gastropoda; Neogastropoda; Conidae.